Molecule: ribosomal RNA, 492 nt
Filed under: uncultured bacterium
Lineage: Bacteria
Description: partial 16S ribosomal RNA
Rfam family: Bacterial small subunit ribosomal RNA
Source: RNAcentral
AGUGAACGCUGGCGGUAGGCCUAACACAUGCAAGUCGAACGGCAGCACAGUAAGAGCUUGCUCUUACGGGUGGCGAGUGGCGGACGGGUGAGGAAUACAUCGGAAUCUACUUUUUCGUGGGGGAUAACGUAGGGAAACUUACGCUAAUACCGCAUACGACCUACGGGUGAAAGCAGGGGAUCUUCGGACCUUGCGCGAUUGAAUGAGCCGAUGUCGGAUUAGCUAGUUGGCGGGGUAAAGGCCCACCAAGGCGACGAUCCGUAGCUGGUCUGAGAGGAUGAUCAGCCACACUGGAACUGAGACACGGUCCAGACUCCUACGGGAGGCAGCAGUGGGGAAUAUUGGACAAUGGGCGCAAGCCUGAUCCGGCCAUACCGCGUGGGUGAAGAAGGCCUUCGGGUUGUAAAGCCCUUUUGUUGGGAAAGAAAAGCAGCAGGUUAAUACCCCGCUGUCCUGACGGUACCCAAAGAAUAAGCACCGGCUAACUUCGUG